UACGUAGGGUGCGAGCGUUGUCCGGAAUUAUUGGGCGUAAAGAGCUCGUAGGCGGCCUGUCGCGUCGGAUGUGAAAGCCCGGGGCUUAACCCCGGGUCUGCAUUCGAUACGGGCAGGCUAGAGUGUGGUAGGGGAGAUCGGAAUUCCUGGUGUAGCGGUGAAAUGCGCAGAUAUCAGGAAGAACACCAAUGGCGAAGGCAGCUCUCUGGGACGGUACUGACGCUGAGACGCGAAAGCGUGGGGAGCGAACAGG
Molecule: ribosomal RNA, 253 nt
Filed under: uncultured bacterium
Lineage: Bacteria
Description: partial 16S ribosomal RNA
Rfam family: Bacterial small subunit ribosomal RNA
Source: RNAcentral